GAUGAACGCUGACAGAAUGCUUAACACAUGCAAGUCAACUUGAAUUUGGGUUUUUAACUUAGGUUUGGGUGGCGGACGGGUGAGUAACGCGUAAAGAACUUGCCUCACAGCUAGGGACAACAUUUGGAAACGAAUGCUAAUACCUAAUAUUAUGAUAAUAGGGCAUCCUAUAAUUAUGAAAGCUAUAAGCGCUGUGAGAGAGCUUUGCGUCCCAUUAGCUAGUUGGAGAGGUAACGGCUCACCAAGGCAAUGAUGGGUAGCCGGCCUGAGAGGGUGAUCGGCCACAAGGGGACUGAGACACGGCCCUUACUCCUACGGGAGGCAGCAGUGGGGAAUAUUGGACAAUGGACCAAGAGUCUGAUCCAGCAAUUCUGUGUGCACGAUGAAGUUUUUCGGAAUGUAAAGUGCUUUCAGUUGGGAAGAAAGAAAUGACGGUACCAACAGAAGAAGUGACGGCUAAAUACGUG
Molecule: ribosomal RNA, 467 nt
Filed under: uncultured bacterium
Lineage: Bacteria
Description: partial 16S ribosomal RNA
Rfam family: Bacterial small subunit ribosomal RNA
Source: RNAcentral